GACGAACGCUGGCGGCGUGCCUAACACAUGCAAGUCGAACGGACAUAAGUUCUUCGGAGUUUAUGUUAGUGGCGGACGGGUGAGUAACGCGUGAGCAACCUGCCUUUCAGAGGGGGAUAACGUUUGGAAACAGACGCUAAUACCGCAUAAGAUAGUAGUAUCGCAUGGUACAGCUAUCAAAGGAGCAAUUCACUGAAAGAUGGGCUCGCGUCCGAUUAGAUAGUUGGUGAGGUAAUGGCUCACCAAGUCAGCGAUCGGUAGCCGGACUGAGAGGUUGAACGGCCACAUUGGGACUGAGACACGGCCCAGACUCCUACGGGAGGCAGCAGUGGGGGAUAUUGCACAAUGGGCGAAAGCCUGAUGCAGCAACGCCGCGUGAGGGAAGACGGUUUUCGGAUUGUAAACCUCUGUCUUCGGUGAAGAACAAAUGACGGUAGCCGAGGAGGAAGCCACGGCUAACUACGUGCCAGCAGCCGCGGUAAAGUCAGUG
Molecule: ribosomal RNA, 490 nt
Filed under: uncultured bacterium
Lineage: Bacteria
Description: bacterial SSU rRNA
Rfam family: Bacterial small subunit ribosomal RNA
Source: RNAcentral